Transfer RNA from Camelus ferus (Wild Bactrian camel), 72 nucleotides. It matches the Rfam family "tRNA". Rfam says of the family: Transfer RNA (tRNA) molecules are approximately 80 nucleotides in length. Their secondary structure includes four short double-helical elements and three loops (D, anti-codon, and T loops). The record is from Rfam. NCBI's taxonomy places the organism in Eukaryota, Metazoa, Chordata, Mammalia, Artiodactyla, Camelidae.
GAGGGUAUAGCUUAGUGGUAGAGCACAUGCUUAGCACACACAAGGUCCUGGGUUCAAUAUUCAGUACCUCCA